RNAcentral lists this transfer RNA (65 nucleotides) under Oligolophus tienmushanensis. RNAcentral's name for it is "tRNA-Ile". The record is from RNAcentral. Lineage: Eukaryota; Metazoa; Arthropoda; Arachnida; Opiliones; Phalangiidae.
AGAAAAAUACCUUAUCUAAAGGGUAGCUAUGAUAAAGCUAACAAAGUAUAUAUUACUUUUUUCUA